RNAcentral lists this ribosomal RNA (251 nucleotides) under uncultured bacterium. Its description in RNAcentral is "partial 16S ribosomal RNA". It matches the Rfam family "Bacterial small subunit ribosomal RNA", at positions 524 to 776 of the family's 1533-position model. The record is from RNAcentral.
UACGUAGGCAGCGAGCGUUGUUCGGAAUUACUGGGCGUAAAGAGUGUGUAGGCGGUGCUCUAAGUUCGGUGUGAAAUCUCCUGCUUAACUGGGAGGGUGCGCCGGAAACUGGAGUGCUCGAGCGUGGGAGAGGGAAAGCGGAAUCCUGGUGUAGCGGUGAAUGCGUAGAUAUCAGGAGGAACACCUGUGGUGUGAGACGGCUUUCUGGACCAUAGCUGACGCUGAGACACGAAGCGUGGGUAGCAAACAGG